UACGUAGGGGGCAAGCGCUGUCCGGAUUCAUUGGGCGUAAAGAGCGUGUAGGCGACCAGGUAGGUCGGUUGUGAAAACUGGAGGCUCAACCUUCAGAGGUCGACCGAAACCAUCUGGCUAGAGUCCGGGAGAGGAGAGUGGAAUUCCUGGUGUAGCGGUGAAAUGCGCAGAUAUCAGGAGGAACACCCGUGGCGAAAGCGGCUCUCUGGAACGGUACUGACGCUGAGACGCGAAAGCGUGGGGAGCGAACAGG
This 253-nucleotide ribosomal RNA is filed under the name uncultured bacterium. Its description in RNAcentral is "partial 16S ribosomal RNA". It matches the Rfam family "Bacterial small subunit ribosomal RNA", at positions 524 to 776 of the family's 1533-position model. The record is from RNAcentral.